AGACUUUUAUUAAAGUUCCCAGCAUGGCAUGCCCUCUCUCUGCCUCUUUGCAUCCUACCCAUCCUUCACCACCUCGCCACUCCAUAAAGCCCUCUCUGAUCACACCAGUCUGCAGCGAUCUCACCCUGCUCUGAACACAUAAGCACUCAUUAUCUGCACCAUUCAUUUUGCAAUUAAUCGUGUACUGCCUUGUGACAUCACUUCUAGUGCUCUCUCUGACUGUUAUCCAACUUCUCACCUGCUGAUGGUUGGAACCCUUGAUGACAAUAUGAGUGACUGGACAGCAGGAGCUACAGCGCCUACAUCUCUGUGUCCCUAACAUUACCUGACAGAGGCCUCAACACAAACAUGGAAGACUGCUAUGCAUACUUCAAUUCUACCUCCUCUGAUAAAACGUAUCCCAGGUGUCCGGCUCCCACCUGAGAUUGCAGGAAUCUUCAAGCCUUAACAUAUCUACUGGGCCUCAAGAUGCAGCAGGCCCUCAGAGAGCCAUCGCAACCAUCAGAACACUCCUGGAGAGCCCCAGGGAACGCACACAUCUUCAUUCCACCCACGUUCUUAUGAAGUAGCUUGUCUUCUCCUUCAUUUAAAAAAUGAAGAAACACUCCACUCCCACUACUUCAUUUGACUAGCCUUAAAAAAAAAAAAAAGGAGAAACUGAGACCUAUAAAUUUUAUCAAAACCCUGAG
Molecule: non-coding RNA, 689 nt
Filed under: Pongo abelii (Sumatran orangutan)
Lineage: Eukaryota; Metazoa; Chordata; Mammalia; Primates; Hominidae
Source: RNAcentral